UCGCCUUGAAACCCCUCUUCCCUCUCAGAUUCUCUUGAACCUUCCUCAACCCUAGCCGCCUUUAAUCGCCUCCACCUUGAAACCCACCGGAAACCAUGGCUUUUCCGGCUACGAUAGUCUUAUACUCAUUACUCAUGUGUGCUCAAUAAUUGAAGAAUUGAGGCCAGACCUCAAAGGUCUUCAUCUAGACCUUUGCCGGCUUGAGGUUUCACG
This 213-nucleotide long non-coding RNA is filed under the name Nicotiana benthamiana. RNAcentral's name for it is "long non-coding RNA (NBEN_LNC021288)". Lineage: Eukaryota; Viridiplantae; Streptophyta; Magnoliopsida; Solanales; Solanaceae. The record is from RNAcentral.